UUGAUUGGUCUCGCCGGCUUGUGGCCGAUCUUGCCGGAGAAGCAAAGAGUAGUGCUGAAGCAGGCUAGAUCGACCAGAAAGCCAGACUGCGACUCGCACUCUACUACGCUUGCCGGAAGAGGAAGAGAGAGACCCGAGAUGGAGUGAGCGGCGAAGGAACGGCGACAAGAAGCUUUAGUCGGCGCGACUUGAGCUUAAGUCACCGGAAACGCCAAAAGAAAGGAGAAAGAGGACUGGCUCGAUCGAGAAGCCCCUCUGUCUCUCUCAUUAGCAUCGCUUGAACAAGAACGAAGGCAAAAGCGCUGACCAGAGGUGCUGCCGGCGAUG
This 327-nucleotide long non-coding RNA is filed under the name Jatropha curcas. RNAcentral's name for it is "long non-coding RNA (JCUR_LNC003543)". Lineage: Eukaryota; Viridiplantae; Streptophyta; Magnoliopsida; Malpighiales; Euphorbiaceae. The record is from RNAcentral.